ACUUGUUGGGGUGGAUGAGUGGCGAACGGGUGAGUAACACGUGAGUAACCUGCCCUCCACUUCGGGAUAAGCACUGGAAACGGUGUCUAAUACUGGAUGUGACAUCAGCCUGCAUGGGUUGGUGUGGAAAGAUUUUUUGGUGGUGGAUGGACUCGCGGCCUAUCAGCUUGUUGGUGGGGUAAUGGCCUACCAAGGCGACGACGGGUAGCCGGCCUGAGAGGGUGACCGGCCACACUGGGACUGAGACACGGCCCAGACUCCUACGGGAGGCAGCAGUGGGGAAUAUUGCACAAUGGGCGCAAGCCUGAUGCAGCGACGCCGCGUGAGGGAUGACGGCCUUCGGGUUGUAAACCUCUUUCAGCCUUGACGAAGCCCUUUGGGGUGACGGUAGGGGCAGAAGAAGCACCGGCUAACUACGUGCCAGCAGCCGCGGUAAUACGUAGGGUGCGAGCGUUGUCCGGAAUUAUUGGGCGUAAAGAGCUUGUAGGCGGUUUGUCGCGUCUGCUGUGAAAGCCCGGGGCUUAACUCCGGGUCUGCAGUGGGUACGGGCAGGCUAGAGUGUGGUAGGGGAGACUGGAAUUCCUGGUGUAGCGGUGGAAUGCGCAGAUAUCAGGAGGAACACCGAUGGCGAAGGCAGGUCUCUGGGCCAUGACUGACGCUGAGAAGCGAAAGCGUGGGGAGCGAACAGGAUUAGAUACCCUGGUAGUCCACGCCGUAAACGUUGGGCGCUA
RNAcentral lists this ribosomal RNA (731 nucleotides) under Serinicoccus sp. CUA-874. RNAcentral describes it as "bacterial SSU rRNA". It matches the Rfam family "Bacterial small subunit ribosomal RNA", at positions 75 to 818 of the family's 1533-position model. The record is from RNAcentral. Lineage: Bacteria; Bacillati; Actinomycetota; Actinomycetes; Micrococcales; Ornithinimicrobiaceae.